ACGCUCGACACCUACGGGAGGCGGCAGUUGGGAAUAUUGGACAAUGGAGGAAACUCUGAUCCAGUGACGCCGCGUGAAGGAAGAAGGUCUUCGGAUUGUAAACUUAUUUUGUCAGGGAAGAAAAAAUGACUGUACCUGAAGAAAAAGCACCGGCUAACUACGUGACAGCAGCCGCGGUAAUCUGAGCGGGCUGGCAAGGC
This 200-nucleotide ribosomal RNA is filed under the name uncultured bacterium. RNAcentral describes it as "partial 16S ribosomal RNA". It matches the Rfam family "Bacterial small subunit ribosomal RNA", at positions 328 to 539 of the family's 1533-position model. The record is from RNAcentral.